RNAcentral lists this ribosomal RNA (445 nucleotides) under Tubifera vanderheuliae. RNAcentral's name for it is "SSU rRNA". It matches the Rfam family "Eukaryotic small subunit ribosomal RNA", at positions 181 to 575 of the family's 1831-position model. Lineage: Eukaryota; Evosea; Eumycetozoa; Liceales; Reticulariaceae. The record is from RNAcentral.
UCCAAACUCUUUUCAGACUAGUAUUGAGUCAGCCUGGUUGCAGGGUUUCUUGGAAUCAGGUGAAGUUGGGCUUCAAUGUAGUUACUUUUUCCCGGUGCAAACCAAUGCAUGAUUUGGGUGGGAGGUCUUUUACCCUGAUGAAGGCAUCUUGAUGACUUUCACACUCGCAAUGGGUUUCAGUCCUAUCAACUUGAUGGUUGGGCCUUGGCCAACCAUGGUUAUAACGGGUGCAGAGGAUUAGGGUUUGAUCCUGGAGAGGUAGCCUGAGAAAUAGCUCCCACUUCCAUGGAAGGCAGCAGGCGCGCAACGUUCCCAAUGGUUUACCGACCGAGGACGUUAAGGAACAUAGCAAUACUUUGCCUUAAAACGCAAAGCAAUUGAAAUGGGGGCGAUAUAAAUCAUCCACCGAGUAACAAUUAGAGGACAAGUCUGGGUGCCAGCAAAA